CUUACAUAGGAAUAUUUCCUCAGUUCCUUCAGCGCUCUAGGGUUUUUAACACCGCCGCUUCAAGCAUCGCAGACUCAACCCAUCUUGGCAGGCAAGCGCUCGAGUAGAAGAAGAAUACUAAAAAAUGCCGUCGCACAAGACUUUCAAGAUUAAGAAGAAGCUAGCGAAGAAGAUGAGGCAGAACAGGCCUAUCCCUCAUUGGAUUCGUAUGCGCACCGACAAUACCAUCAGGUACAACGCUAAGCGCAGGCACUGGCGUCGUACGAAGCUUGGCUUCUGAGAAUGCUUUGAAUUAGUUAUUCAUUAGGGUUUAUUUUAAGAUUACG
RNAcentral lists this unclassified non-coding RNA (326 nucleotides) under Hevea brasiliensis (rubber tree). Lineage: Eukaryota; Viridiplantae; Streptophyta; Magnoliopsida; Malpighiales; Euphorbiaceae. The record is from RNAcentral.